CAUUUGUCAAAAGAGUAACGUCGUACGAGCUCAUUUUAAUUCUUAAAGAAACAAGAAACAUGUCAUCUGGAAUUGACGUCAACUCCAAAGUUUUAGAAGCUUAUAAUGCUUUGCAACUACAACAUAACUAUAAGUACGUCAUUUUCAAACUUUCUGAUGAUUUGAAACAAAUUGAAGUGGAAACGACAAAAAAGAAUUACGAUGGCUUCGCAUGGAAGGAUUUUACUGACCAACUUCCACCUUGCGAUGUACGCUAUGCUGUAGUCGACUUCCAUUUUAAUAAGAAGUCUGAUGGAGCGAAACAAGAAAAAGUCAUAUUCGUUCACUGGGCACCUGAUAAUGCACCAAUCAAGCGAAAGAUGUUAAUAGCGUCAUCGAAGGAUGCUCUUAAGAGAAAAUUGGAGGGUUUAUCCUUGGAGGUUCAAGCUAAUGAUAUGUCGGAUUUAUUGGAAGAAGAAAUCAUUGCAAAGUUGGAUAGAACUUAAUUUACUACCUAAUUUAACAGGUAUAUCUGAACUACUGUCCGGUUUGAUGUUCUGUUUUUUUUCAUAAGUUCGGAUGUAAUUUUUUCCUCCGUAGUAAAUAAAAACUAAAGUGUCGACACAAAUUUUUGUUUCAAAUGUAGAGCGAUUAAAGUAACUAUGCAUUUUUGCGUUGCUUGAAUAAAUUUAUUUUCAACACUUACGACGUCAAACAAAUUGAAGAUUCACUCUUUUCCAACGACACCACAUGAAUAUCAUCGAAAUAUGCAGAACCUUGAAUCUGUAAUUCUAGACUUACCAUUUUCGAAUCUGUUUCGAAAUGAAUACUUCGUUUAUGCCACUUUUUCUGGGACGAAUCAAAACUUGUGGUCACAAUAUGUUCUUCACUUGCAGUUUUUGCCUGAUACGUAAUAAUUUAGAUUAUUCAUAAGAAUGAAAUUUACAAUUAUUAUGAAGCACGAUUAUUACAAAAAAAGUUGACUAAUUUGUAUCUAUUGAACUUUUGUUUAUUAAAACUACUAACCACAGCUGUCAUUCCAUAAUUGACCUCUUACAACUGCUUACGCCUGAUCUUCUCUUUUCUUCAGUCCUAUUAAGAGAUGAGUUCGUGCCUACUGUUUGCCAGCCAGUCAGGCCGUUAAAUUCACAGUCACGAUUGUUGAAGGAAAGAACUUGUUUCUUGCACUGAGCACUUAAAUAGCUAUCCGUUACAACUGUGAAUAUAUUUCAUUCUUAAAAUAAAACCGCCUAACCUAAAUGGAAACU
This 1247-nucleotide unclassified non-coding RNA is filed under the name Dimorphilus gyrociliatus. Its description in RNAcentral is "aDF-H domain-containing protein". Lineage: Eukaryota; Metazoa; Annelida; Polychaeta; Dinophilidae. The record is from RNAcentral.